GACGAACGCUGGCGGCGUGCCUAAUACAUGCAAGUGGAGCGCUGAAGGUUGGUCCUUGUACCAACUGGAUGAGCAGCGAACGGGUGAGUAACGCGGGGGGAAUCUGCCUUUGGGCGGGGGACAACAUUUGGAAACGAAUGCUAAUACCGCAUAAAAACUUUAAACACAAGUUUUAAGUUUGAAAGAUGCAAUUGCAUCACUCAAAGAUGAUCCCGCGUUGUAUUAGCUAGUUGGUGAGGUAAAGGCUCACCAAGGCGAUGAUACAUAGCCGACCUGAGAGGGUGAUCGGCCACAUUGGGACUGAGACACGGCCCAAACUCCUACGGGAGGCAGCAGUAGGGAAUCUUCGGCAAUGGACGAAAGUCUGACCGAGCAACGCCGCGUGAGUGAAGAAGGUUUUCGGAUCGUAAAACUCUGUUGGUAGAGAAGAACGUUGGUGAGAGUGGAAAGCUCAUCAAGUGACGGUAACUACCCAGAAAGGGACGGCUAACUACGUG
Molecule: ribosomal RNA, 497 nt
Filed under: uncultured bacterium
Lineage: Bacteria
Description: partial 16S ribosomal RNA
Rfam family: Bacterial small subunit ribosomal RNA
Source: RNAcentral